CACAUGCUUCGGACACGAACCACUUGGGUAACUGAUUCUACUUACGAGAUUGGGAGGGUGGUGGAGAGAGGGUGCCCUCAAGGGGGUGUCCUCUCACCGCUUCUCUGGGAUCUGGUCGUAAGUGAAAUUCUGCAAAAACUGCAUCAUCGGUUCCCUCAACUGUACUCACAGGGCUUUGCCGACGAUCUCACAACAGUGGGACGGGGCAUUGACCUCGGUACAGUGGGGAGUCAUGUGCAGAGAGCAGUAAAUCUUGUUAGUGAUUGGUGCAAAGAAGUGAGCUUGUCAGUCAAUGAUAAGCUUGCCCUGGUACUAUUCACUAAGAAAUACAAAUUCACUGCUCCUGUGAUCAAGUUGGAUGGUAUUCCCAUCCCUUAUCAAAAGCAGGUAAGAUAUCUUGGGGUCUUAUUGGAUCACAAGUUGAAUUGGGGCCCACUAUGCAGGGCUAGGGCACAAAAAGGUUUGCGUGCCCUGGCCCAGUGCAGGAGGGCCAUUGGUAAAACUUGGGGUCUUUCCCCAAAAAUCACAAAUUGGAUCUACAAAUCCAUAAUUCGCCCGGCCAUGGAAUAUGGGUCACUAUUGUGGGCUCCGGCUACACAGGUGAAGUCCCACAUGGCCCAGCUGCAAAGAGUACAAAGGUUUGCCAUGCUUGGUACAACCGGUGUAAUGUCUAGCACUCCUACUGCAGCCCUGGAGUGUCUACUGGGGCUUGCCCCAGUGGAUAUCCGGGUACAGCAAGUUGCACUACGUACCUACCAUCGCCUCGCUCACCACGGCCAAUGGAGAAAAUGGUCUGGGGGUGAUCGGACGAUGGUGCUAAAACAUAACAAGUUUGUAGAAAUCAUGGCAUCUGGCAUUCCAGAAUUCCAGAUGCCAUGUGAGAAACUUGUUAAUCCACCAGCAGAGAGGAACUUCUCAACCUCCAUCUGUUCGGCGCAAGAUUGGGAGGAUGGUAGCGUGCCCACGGAUGCCGCUGAUGUGAGCUGUUUUACAGACGGCUCACGGAUGGGCGAGAGCUCGGGUGCGGCUUACUACUUCACAUACAACAACCUUGUCCAGGAAGCUGUGAGGUGCUCUAUUCCUCUGGGAUGGGCACCCACGGUUUUCCAGGCAGAAAUUAUGGGUGUUAUCAGGGCCUCUGAAAUGUUGACCGACAAUUCUCAGAACUAUGGCUUGAACGUUGACUUCUUCAUUGAUAGUCAGGGUGCCAUUAAAGCAGUCACUAGCCCAUGGCCAGUUUCAUCACUGACUGCUGAGGCUAUUGAGAUGCUAAAUCAUAUUAGGAAGACUAAGAAGGUAACACUUCAUUGGAUCCCCUCUCACCAUGGAUAUGAAGGGAAUGAAGUGGCUGAUUUGUUGGCCAAGGAAGGUACUCUUACUGAGUAUCUUGGCCCACAGCCCUCUAUUCCUCUUUCCAGAAGCACUGUAAUCUCCAGCAUUGUAAACUGGGCAAGAUUGCAGCAUACCAAAUCGUGGAAAAGCAGCAAGGGUUGUUUAACUUCCAAAGCUUUUCUCUUUGCCCCUUUAUCAGGGCUUAGCAGAAAGCUUUUAACCCUAAAUCGAAAUAAUCUGCGAUCAGUAAUACAAACCUUAACCGGGCAUUGUACUUUAAACGGGCACCUUAGGACAAUGGGAUUAGUUGAUGAGGCCACGUGCCAAUGCGGCCGUGGCCCUGAGACUGUAUUUCAUUUUCUUGGAUCCUGUGAUCCUGUGACAAGUACUGUGCCCUAAGGUUAGAACUCUUUGGGAGGCACGAUUUGCCACCAGAGCAAAUAGUUACUAUGCCUCUGCCCGAUCUGAUUCAAUUUAUAAUCAGAUCAGGGCGGUUUGUUGAUCAAGCUAGAUCGGUAAAUCGUGAGAGUCAUAACUCUGCACAGUAAGCGGUGUAUACGGGGAGACUGCAAUAAGCUCUAGUGCUUGCGCAGCUGACGGUCCAGUCCAACAAUGGCAGGAUCGUCACCCCACCAAUACAUACAUACAUACAUACAAUGUUUAUAGCCGAAAAUAGCCAACACGCCGAAUUUUAAAAAUGAUUGUAAUUGCAUGAAAAGUUAAACAAGCAUAGAGUAAUACUUGCAUAAUAGUACGUAAACUCGCAAAUAUUGAUUAUAGCGCAUAAAGCGCCUUAGGAGCCGAUUUUGGGCGGGAAAACCAAAAAUCCUUACAAUGACUUUAAAUAGACAGCAAUGACAAUGAAUAAUUAUCCCGUGAGAGGAAAUUGCUCGAACAUAGACUAUGGCGCAUCUGGUGAAUAGAAAUCAAUUUUAAGCGGGAAAAUUAAAUUCUACUAAUUCCUGGCAAUCUCUCAAUUUUUAAUUUUCCCGCCUAAAAGAUAUUUCAGCGGCACCCGGUACGUAAUCAUUAAUUUUGACGUAGUUUACCCUACCGGCAAGAUUAUUUGUGGUAUAUAAUUAAAUCCAUGCAAUGAUGCAAUUCAUCAAACUUUUAGUUUUCUCUCCCAAAACGCCCAUUUGUGCUACAUGCGAGCAAAACAAUUUCUCUAAUCUUAUCGUAAAGCGUUGUUGAAAUAAAUUGGUGUCGAAAUUUCCUUGCAAAAAACAGUUUUCACAACUCGGCGUGUUGGCUAGAUAUAGCCACUUGGCUAUAAAUUUAUUUUGCAUCCAUUUCUAAUAUUAUUUCCUAAGAGACAAUUUAUCUUCCCGCCUAAAGGGCGGGUUCUUGACUCAUAACUCUUGCUUUGCUUUGCUUGGAGAGGCAAUGACCUAAUUUUUUUCCGGAUACGACACAUAGUCGUAGGCCGGUGUGAACGGAAAAUACGCCACAUAGUCGUAUCCGUUGUCAAGGGUCAAUACGACACAUCGUCGAAUUCCGGUGCCAAGGGAACCGGCGCCACAUGGUCGUAUUCGGUGUAAAGGUCAAAUACGCCACAUAGUCGUUAUAGGGGCGAAGUGGUUAACCAUUGCUAAAGCAAAAAGAUUUUUUUUUGUACAAGUAUUCCUAUUUUUCGGUAUAAAAUCUGAGCAAACAUGACAGAAUUCGCUACUGCCAAUCCUAAGUUACAGUAAUUAUCUAACUCCACCAUUAAUUUAAUUACAGGUUUCCUCCAUCUAUUCCUUACAAUAACCAUUUUGAAAGAAAUGUAGGAAGAUUCGGAUAUGCCUUGCUUUCUCCCAUCACCACGAUUUACGCAGUCCUCGUUACAAUCGAUUACGUCAUAAUUUUCUUUAAAGCCCCCGCGUUGGCGGAAUGGCUAAAUAAUUGGAAUGCCAUUGAAAAUGAAAUGCAAAAAAUGGGCCUUCCCCGUGACAAAAUUAAAAUUGAUUCAUUUCUCCUCUGGUUUAUCCCAACGUUCGAAUUUGCACCAGCCCUAAUUUUUAAAAUCAUGGAAACAAUAGGGCGGUUGAAUAUUGGAUAUCCGAUUCACUGCGUACUAAGCGUCGUUUACGGAUGUCUUCCAUACAUCUGUUAUGCUAUUGAAGAUUCGAAGGCAUUGCUGAUGCUGAAAUGCUUACAAGUUGGGUUCCUUCAGGUCCGCAGUUAUCUCGAAGAAAACUUGAAAGUCCAUCACCAAUUUCCUAUUGAAAAAAUUCACAAUCUUUUGAUUAAUCUUCGUCUGCAAACGCAAAAUUGUGGCGAUUACUUGGCCACUCAGCAACUCUUUUCCAUCUUAAUGACGUUGUAUUCCACGGGGGUGUCAUUCUACGCAUUUGUGGCCGUUAUGUCGAACGAAUCGGUCGGGGGAGGUGCCGAGAAGACAAUUCUGUUGGUAUUUGUCUCUAUUUGGCCAUUGUACGCGAGGAGUCGACUUUAUACGAAAGUUUACAUUGCGGUGAAAAUAACUAAAGAGGAAAAAAGGAUUGCGGACAUUAUUAAAUUUGAGAAGCGAAAGAUGAAACGAGGAACAUUCGGGUCGGAUGAGUACUCUUCCGAGAUGUGCAUUAUACAGCUACAAGAAGUCUACAACUUAUUGACCCUUGAACCUACCGAGGUUUCCUUCAAUGACUAUGUGAAAUUAAAUAACCCUUUAAUUUUGGGGGUGUUUCAACAAAUUUUUACCCUCAUCAUUAUUCUCAUGCAGUUUCCUAAGUAACGCACUUCAUUUCAGCACGAGAUCAAUUAUUUCAGACUAGUUGUUGUUCGGAUUGCGAGUUGAGGCACGGAAAAUUCUUCACAAAUCUCCACAAAUUACGAAUGAAUUUUGGUUACGAAGAUCCACCACACGUACAUAAAUGGAAUUAUACGUAUCUUCACAAACACUUCAAAAUAUUUAUAUUUAAGUAAUUAUUUAUCGAUAAAUUUGAUCUAAUUUUCCCAUUAUAUUUUGUUAUAAAUUGUUAGCAGAUUCUUGUAUCUAAAUAAUGAAAAUGUAUGUAAACGUAUGAAAUUUGUUCAUGAAAUUAGGCAAAUUGGGACUCUCUGUUUUUGACUUUUGCUUCUCGGUUUCUUUUACACUACAAAAUGCAAGACCAACAAAUAUAUAGAAGCAAUACGCUCUUAGAAGUCUGGAUAUAUUAUAGUCAGGUAGGUAUUGAUUUCUCGGCGUUAAUAGUGCUACUGCUUGGUACAACAAUUUAUUAAUGAGUAGCCUGGUCGCUCCACAAGUAGAUACAUACAUACAUACUCAAAUAUUAAUGACUUCCGAGCAUAGCAAGUAAUUGGUCAGUAUGAGACGAUUAAUGUUGUUAUUUAUCUCACAAAUUUCACUCAUGAUGAAUGGGUAUUGCCCAUUGUAAAUAUUUACAUGCACGUAUAAAAAUUUUUCUUAUGUACUAAAUUUCACAUGAAAUAUUCUACAUUUCCACAUGUUAUGUGUGAUACAAGGAGAUAUGUAUUAGCCAACUAAUGAAAUACAUAUGUAUUGCAGA
Molecule: RNA transcript, 4826 nt
Organism: Folsomia candida
Lineage: Eukaryota; Metazoa; Arthropoda; Collembola; Entomobryomorpha; Isotomidae
Exons: 5
Source: RefSeq, a predicted model, not a curated record